Oncorhynchus tshawytscha (Chinook salmon) is the source of this 1034-nucleotide long non-coding RNA. The record is from Ensembl. Lineage: Eukaryota; Metazoa; Chordata; Actinopteri; Salmoniformes; Salmonidae.
UUCCCUGGUUUCCUCUAUGUCAUAUCUCCACCAUGCAUUUAGAAUCUCAUGAUACUACAGCAGUGUUUCCCUGGGUUCCUCUGUCAUAUCUCCACCAUGCAUUUAGAAUCUCAUGAUACUACAGCAGCGUUUCCCUGGUUUCCUCUGUCAUAUCUCCACCUUGCAUUUAUAACCUCAUGAUACUACAGCAGCGUUUCCCUGGUUUCCUCUAUGUCAUGUCUCCACCAUGCAUUUAUAAACUCAUGAUACUACAUCAGUGUUUCCCUGGUUUCCUCUGUCAUAUCUCCACCAUGCAUUUAGAAUCUCAUGAUACUACAGCAGCGUUUCCCUGGUUUCCUCUAUGUCAUGUCUCCACCAUGCAUUUAUAAACUCAAGAUACUGCAGCAGUGUUUCCCUGGUUUCGUGUGGUGGGGGUGGGGGCUGUCCUGACUGCUGGAGCUCUUCUAGUCAACAUGUACUGCACUCUGAAGAGGAGAUCCACAGGAGGAAGUGAUGCCACAUCAGACACACAGAGUGUCCAUCCUAAUCCUAACAGUAAGACGUACACAGCUCUGAACAUGAAGACCAGGUCACCAGAGUAUGACACCCUGGCAUUCAUACUGGUGUCUGGAGCUCUACCCCUCUGCCCUAUCAGACGCUCAGAAGUCCAUCCAGCUCGCCCCUGAUUGGCCAAAGGGAUACUUCCUCAAGGAGAGUGCACUGAUGGGGUUAAAGCUGUAUGGUGAGGCAGAAAGGGCCAUGGAUCAGGUGUUAAAGCUGGAUCAGGUCCUCCACUGAGGUCUUCAACUGCAAGGUCCUGCAGAUCAUGAACCUGGGUUUUGAGGAGGGGCAGAGAUUUUUGCAGGACUCCAGUGGUGGAUCUCUCCUCCCCCAGGACUCCAGUGGUGGACCCUCCUCCCUCAUGACUCCAGUGGUGGACCUCUCCUCCCCUCAUGACUCCAGUGGUGGACCUCUCCUCCCCUCAUGACUCCAGUGGUGGACCUCUCCUCCCCUCAGGACUCCAGUGGAGGACCUCUCCUCCCCUCAGGACUCCU